UACAGAGGGUGCGAGCGUUGUUCGGAAUUAUUGGGCGUAAAGAGCUCGUAGGCGGUGUGUCGCGUCGGCCGUGAAAACCUGCAGCUUAACUGUGGGCUUGCGGUCGAUACGGGCAUCACUGGAGUUCGGCAGGGGAGACUGGAAUUCCUGGUGUAGCGGUGAAAUGCGCAGAUAUCAGGAGGAACACCGGUGGCGAAGGCGGGUCUCUGGGCCGAUACUGACGUUGAGGAGCGAAAGCGUGGGGAGCGAACAGG
Molecule: ribosomal RNA, 254 nt
Filed under: uncultured bacterium
Lineage: Bacteria
Description: partial 16S ribosomal RNA
Rfam family: Bacterial small subunit ribosomal RNA
Source: RNAcentral